This 64-nucleotide transfer RNA is filed under the name Curculionoidea sp. 30 KM-2017. Its description in RNAcentral is "tRNA-Cys". Lineage: Eukaryota; Metazoa; Arthropoda; Insecta; Coleoptera. The record is from RNAcentral.
GAUUAAAUAGUCUAAUUAAAGAUUUUAAAUUGCAAAUUUAAAGAUAAAAAUUUUUUUUUAAUCU